GCUCACUCCAGGAGCACAUGUGAAAACUACAACAAUACAGAGAUUAGCACAGCCCCUGCGCAAAGAUGACAUGCAAAUUCAUGGAACUGUCCAUGUUUUG
This is a small nuclear RNA of Myotis lucifugus (little brown bat), 100 nucleotides long. Lineage: Eukaryota; Metazoa; Chordata; Mammalia; Chiroptera; Vespertilionidae. The record is from Ensembl.